RNAcentral lists this ribosomal RNA (246 nucleotides) under uncultured bacterium. RNAcentral describes it as "partial 16S rRNA". It matches the Rfam family "Bacterial small subunit ribosomal RNA", at positions 505 to 750 of the family's 1533-position model. The record is from RNAcentral.
GUGUCAGCAGCCGCGGUAAUACGUAGGGAGCAAGCGUUGUCCGGAUUUACUGGGUGUAAAGGGUGCGUAGGCGGCUCUGCAAGUCAGGCGUGAAAGCUAUGGGCUUAACCCAUAGACUGCGUUUGAAACUGUGGAGCUUGAGUGAAGUAGAGGUAGGCGGAGUUCCCGGUGUAGCGGUGAAGUGCGUAGAGAUCGGGAGGAACACCAGUGGCGAAGGCGGCCUACUGGGCUUUAACUGACGCGGAG